AGGACGAACGCUGGCGGCGUGCCUAACACAUGCAAGUCGAACGGUGAAUGGGAGCUUGCUCCCCGGAUCAGUGGCGAACGGGUGAGUAACACGUGGGCAACCUGCCCCUAGCUCUGGGAUAACUCCGGGAAACCGGGGCUAAUACCGGAUACGACAUCUAGUGACAUCACUUGAUGUGGAAAGUUUUUCGGCUAGGGAUGGGCCCGCGGCCUAUCAGCUUGUUGGUGGGGUAACGGCCCACCAAGGCGACGACGGGUAGCCGGCCUGAGAGGGCGACCGGCCACACUGGGACUGAGACACGGCCCAGACUCCUACGGGAGGCAGCAGUGGGGAAUAUUGCGCAAUGGGCGAAAGCCUGACGCAGCGACGCCGCGUGAGGGACGAAGGCCUUCGGGUUGUAAACCUCUUUCAGCAGGGACGAAGCCGCAAGGUGACUGUACCUGCAGAAGAAGCACCGGCUAACUACGCGCCAGCAGCCGCGGUAA
Molecule: ribosomal RNA, 485 nt
Filed under: uncultured bacterium
Lineage: Bacteria
Description: SSU rRNA
Rfam family: Bacterial small subunit ribosomal RNA
Source: RNAcentral